Salvia splendens (bonfire salvia) is the source of this 390-nucleotide long non-coding RNA. RefSeq lists it as uncharacterized. The transcript has 2 exons. The record is from RefSeq and is a predicted model, not a curated record. Lineage: Eukaryota; Viridiplantae; Streptophyta; Magnoliopsida; Lamiales; Lamiaceae.
GGCCCCAGGACUCGAUGCCAUCAUAGUUGUCGGUUUUGGCUUGGCUGGCGCCCAUUGCCGCUCGCCACAGGCUUACCAUUGAUGCAGAUACGGAAGUUUGGGGUUGUGGAUGAAGCAAAUGGGAUAAAAAGUGGUCGCGUGGCGUGGGAGAGGUACUUGGCCCUUUUAGGCAGGCAUGAGAGGCUCACAUUCUAAAGAAACAAUUUCAAAUAUGUUGAGCACUUUUGGAAUAGAUUAGCACUUUAUAAUUUUUAGUACUAGUAUUGUUUGUGUAGUUUAAGUCAAAGAUGACCAACACUUAAUAUUGUUUAGUUUGUGUGUUCAAACACGUUACAUUUUUGUGUAAAAUCAUUUGAUGGUUUGAAUAUUAUUCAAAUAGUUGUCAUUUUA